This is a long non-coding RNA of Symphalangus syndactylus (siamang), 1089 nucleotides long. RefSeq lists it as uncharacterized. Lineage: Eukaryota; Metazoa; Chordata; Mammalia; Primates; Hylobatidae. The record is from RefSeq and is a predicted model, not a curated record.
GCCCUUCCACCCUCCGGGUUCCCUCAAGCCCCAGCUCUGCCCAGGACCUCACCUGGAAUACGUGGAAGCCCACGGUGAGGGCGUGGGGCCUUCAGUUGUGGCCAAGGUAGCAGCUUAAUGGGCUUGGCCAGCAGCAGAAAAGGUGGACAGAGCUGAGGGAGGACCGGCUGCCGCUGUCAGAAUACCAAGAAAGAGGACCCCACUGGAAAUCAGACUGUUCAACUCACCUGGCAGCCACUCCCAGAGCCCCUGGAACUCUGGCCCAAGGCUCUCUGACUCACUCCUUCCCAGAUCUUCUCAGCUUAGUGGCUGAAGACUGACGCUGCCCGAUCCCCUCAGAAGUCCCAUAGACCAUUACAGACGCUGAGCUUUAAGUAACACUCACAGUGGAAGGUAAGUCUGUCCCCUUCUUUAUCAAUACGGAGGUUACCCACUCCACAUUACCUUCUUUUCAAAGGCCUGUUUCCCUUGCCUCCGUAACUGUUGUGGAUAUUGAUGGCCAGGCUUCUAAACCUCUUAAAACUCCCCAACUCUGGUGCCAACUUAGACAAUACUCAAGCACUCCUUUUUAGUCAUCCCCACCUGCCCAGUUCCCUUAUUAGGCCGAGACACUUCAAAUUAUCUGCUUCCGUGACUAUUCCUGGACUACAGCUACAUCUCAUUGCCGCCCUUCUUCCGAAUCCAAAGCCUCCUUCACAUCCUCCUCUUGUAUCCCCCCACCUUAACCCACAAGUAUAAGAUACCUCUACUCCCUCCUUGGCGACCGAUCAUGCACCCCUUACCAUCUCAUUAAAACCUAAUCACCCUUACCUCGCUCAAUGCCAAUAUCCCAUCCCACAGCACGCUUUAAAAGGAUUAAAGUCUGUUAUCACUCGCCUAUUACAGCAUGGCCUUUUAAAGCCUAUAAACUCUCCUUACAAUUCCCCCAUUUUACCUGUCCUAAAACCAGACAAGACUUACAGGUUAGUUCAGGAUCUGCGCCUUAUCAACCAAAUUGUUUUGCCUAUCCACCCCGUGGUGCCAAACCCAUAUACUCAUAUCCUCAAUACCUCCCUCCACAAUCCAUUAUUCUGUUCUAGAUCUCAAACA